GUGAGUUUUUGUUGGGGAUUUUGUUUUUAAGUAAAUUCUCUUAAGACUAUGCUAGGGCAAGUAGAAUGUGAUGACACCAGAAGUGAAAGGAUCCUGAAAUCCUGGCAUCAGGAUGUGCGGGGUUUUAGGAAUGGCAGUGUGGCUCAAAAAGACUUCUUAUGAGAAACAAAAAGACUCCCAAUUCUCUUCUUCAAGGCACCUUUGGUUACCAACCAUUUAGGAGACUGAGCCCUAAGCCUUUCCCCCCACCCCGCCGCCCCCACUGUGUACAAAAGACAAGAUGCUGUGAACAUGAGGAUAAUAUCCACUAGAAGCCUCUAUCAUUCAUUUUGGCUUUGUGACAACUUCCCUGGAAACUCAACAUCUUGAGGGGUGAAGUUGGUUUUUGUUUGUUUUUUUUUAAAGGUUGGCACCUGAGCUAACAACUGUUGCCAAUCUUUUUUGUUUCCUGCUUUUUUCUCCCCGAAUCCCCUCAGUAUAUAGUUGUAUAUUUUAGUUGUGGGUCCUUCUAGUUGUGGCAUGUGGGACAUCACCUCAACGUGGCCUGAUGAGCAGUGCCAUGUCCGCGCCCAGGAUCCGAACCGGCGAAACCCUGGGUCACCGAAGAGGAGCGUACAAACUUAACCACUCGGCCCCUUAGGAUGAAAUUUUUUUACUGCAAAGUUUCAGUGUCACUUUAGUGAGAUCAUAGAACACUCUUUUCUUGCACUAGAACCAGGCAGAAAGUCUCACUCACUUACAGCCAGCACAGUCCCCAGGCUCAUUAUGGCCUAACUGGUCACCUAAAGUAAUGAAAGGGGGAACAGCUUAUUCUUGUUCCAGUUGCCAUUUGACCAAAAUCCUACCAGAGUCACCUAUCUGUGAGCGUUUAUUCCUCACUAUGGAAUGUAACUCUUGCUCAUCCCUGAAAAACUUGAGUGACCCGUUAUAUUGAAUGGUGAACCCAUUCCAGAAGGUGGACUGAACUGGCUCCAGAACUGGUGAAAGCAUCCUUUUUGCUUCACAUUUCGGGACUCUUGUGAAUUAUCAGCACAUCAAGCCCUAACUAGAAAUGCAAGAUCUUUCAAAUUUCACGAACUACAGCAGGUAGUGCAGUGUCAACUCAUUGAGGAGAACGGAAGAGAUGACGGGACCCUGCAGGCAGAAAGAGAAAUGACCUUCCAUGUGUGCAAGAAUAAUGAAGAAUUUAAGGGAGAAAAAUGUUUCACCUGCAGGAAGAUGGAUUCUGAGCUAUCAGUUAAAAUCUAAGAAAAUUGCCAGGAGUCAUUGUCAACUCUUUCC
Molecule: long non-coding RNA, 1281 nt
Filed under: Equus caballus (horse)
Lineage: Eukaryota; Metazoa; Chordata; Mammalia; Perissodactyla; Equidae
Description: lncRNA (ENSECAG00000049416.1)
Source: RNAcentral